This is a long non-coding RNA of Canis lupus familiaris (dog), 2182 nucleotides long. RefSeq lists it as uncharacterized. NCBI's taxonomy places the organism in Eukaryota, Metazoa, Chordata, Mammalia, Carnivora, Canidae. The record is from RefSeq and is a predicted model, not a curated record. The transcript has 4 exons.
GCUCAGUAGACAUUUACUGAAUUCAGGACUCAGAGUCUGAGUGCAUGGCUCAGCAGGGACUUCACCCUGGUGCUCAGCAGGGACUUCAUUGGGAAGCAAUGUGGCUGUCUUGCCACCAGAGGUCCCCACAGCACCAUGGAAAAACUUGAAGUUGUUUCAAUUGGUGGCAGGAACAUUUGGGAAAAUCUGAAGGUUUUUUUUUUUUUUUUCUCACCACUUCUGCCCUCUACUCCUGUGCCAGUGUGAGCGGUCUCCCCCCAAGGCCAUCUGAGUUUCUCACUAUGGGUCCCUGAGGGCAAAUGCAGGUCUGGGAAAGGCAUGAUCUCCAGGGCAGUUGAGGGUGGCUUCUGGGACCAGACCCAACUGUGGAGUUAGAGAAGAUUCUGGAAGUUAGCCUCAUAAGGGGAGCUACCUUGGCGCCCACCUAGAAUUCUGGCUUAGCCAACAGAUGUGGGGAGAGGGGUGGUUGGAGUGGCUCUCUGGCAUUUGUCUAGUUUGUCUCAAGAACUUAAGUUUUUAUAAUAAUCGUCACACUGACCUGUGAGGAGAAAAUCUUGUAGGGAAGGAGUCUGAAGUUAGAAGCAGGGAGGUGAUUUGCCCAAGGUCAUUCAACGACAUAGGAUAGAGCUUGAUUUUAAGCCUAGGUUCAUCUGGUUUAAUCGCCCAUGUGUUUUCCUCUGCAGCUGCUGCCUUCCACAUGCCUGGGGGAGGGCGGUUGAGAAGAUGGUGAUUGGUGACAACUCUCAGUUUCUGUGCUUGUCUUGUCCCUAAGAGCCGUAGCCCAGGAAAUACAAGCCCCACAGAAUUGCUCUGUGACAGUGGGAUGAUCACCGUUCCUCAAUUGUGGUUACCUCAUAUUCCAGUCUUUCUGUUGGAGAAAAUUCCUAUUUGGAACCCUAAGGAGAGAUGAAGGGAAGCUGUUUGUAUUGAAACCAAGGAAAGGGAGGCCUGAGACCUGCCCACUCAGACUGUUACUCUCGGCCCCCUCACUGGUCUUCUAGCCUCUGGGCACCAAGCUUGGGGAAAUACACUGGCCUCACCUAUGUUCAGGUGAAAGAUGAGAGCUCAAGAGGGGAGAUUUAUCAAGGCUAGGUAGAUAGAUGGUAGACCAGAGCUAGAAACCAAUUCUAGCCCAGGAUAGAAAUUUUACUACUUAAGCCUUAUUAAAGAAAAAAAUCCCGUUUGAUAACCUGACUGCCCCUAAUGAAGAGCACUUACCUGUUAAGCAGUUGUUUUCAAGCAGAAUGUAUGGAUGACAGGCACUGUCAGUGACCUCAUAUCCUGCAGAAAGGAUUCAAGCUAUCUUAGCCCAGCAUGCCAGAUCCCCUUUAAUCCCCAGGUAGAGAUUCCUUCUCAUACUGCCUCCCAAGAAGAGCUACAACAUCCUGAAAGUCAUAUCAAAUAAGUGCUUAGAACAACUGGGGAUUUAUCCUUGCCAAACCAGAAUUCCAGCAUCUAUGUGCCAAGCAUUCAUCAGAGGGAUGGAACAGCAGCAAGGAGACUUGAUGCCAGUGAGGAAACCAGUUGUUGACACCAUUUCUGAUCUCCAGUGAUGAAUGACACACUCAAGUUACAAAAAUGGGGCCUUAAAAGAAGCACAUUGUACAAUGAACAAGCAGAUUGGAGUUAAGAACACUGAAACGCUAACCCGCUACCACGAGAAGAGACAGGGAGCAACACUUUGGUUUGAGGAGAGACACAGAAAGACUGGAGACUGAGAGAGGUGAGAGAAGAGCCAAGAAGAGGGAGAGGCAGAAGCAGAGAGAGAACAGACUGGAAAGAACAGAAAAAGAAAUGAGAGGAAUCAAACCACCCGAAAGUUUGUUCGUUUUCCUUCGUCCAUUCUUUUUGCUUUCUUAUUCCUUUUUUUCCUGUUUUGUUUUGUUUUUGUUUUAAAGCUUUUUCAGUGGAUUGGGGGGCAGGGAGCAGGGGGCUCUUCACCCCUGUCCCUGACCCCCUCUCUCAGCCCUGCCCACCCGCUUCCAUCCGCCCUGGCUGAGGGACAGGCCCUGCCCCAGCCUCCCCCUCCGGCUUUCCCGAAGACGACGUCCAUGAGGUAUUUGUGAAGAGAAAGAAGCGUCUGUCCUUCCAUCCGCCUUGAGGACCAAGGGCCUGGACCACUGGCGCAGGGGCUUGGCUCCACCUCGCGGCUCCUUCUUAUUCUUGAAGAGUCCUCGUCUUC